CUACGGGUGGCAGCAGUGGGGAAUAUUGCACAAUGGGGGAAACCCUGAUGCAGCAACGCCGCGUGGAGGAUGACGCAUUUCGGUGUGUAAACUCCUUUUAUAUAGAAAGAACAUGACGGUACUAUAUGAAUAAGCACCGGCUAACUCCGUGCCAGCAGCCGCGGUAAUACGGAGGGUGCAAGCGUUACUCGGAAUCACUGGGCGUAAAGGAUGCGUAGGCAGAUUAAUAAGUUGGGAGUGAAAUCCUAUGGCUCAACCAUAGAACUGCUUUCAAAACUGUUAGUCUAGAAUGUGGGAGAGGUAGAUGGAAUUAGUGGUGUAGGGGUAAAAUCCGUAGAGAUCACUAGGAAUACCGAUUGCGAAGGCGAUCUACUGGAACACUAUUGACGCUGAGGCAUGAAAGCGUGGGGAGCAAACAGGAUUAGAUACCCCCGUAGUC
RNAcentral lists this ribosomal RNA (439 nucleotides) under uncultured bacterium. RNAcentral describes it as "partial 16S ribosomal RNA". It matches the Rfam family "Bacterial small subunit ribosomal RNA", at positions 339 to 795 of the family's 1533-position model. The record is from RNAcentral.